RNAcentral lists this ribosomal RNA (1236 nucleotides) under metagenome. Its description in RNAcentral is "bacterial LSU rRNA". It matches the Rfam family "Bacterial large subunit ribosomal RNA", at positions 1564 to 2808 of the family's 2925-position model. The record is from RNAcentral.
UGAAUACGAGAUGCUACGGCGUCGAAGCAGUGUAUGUCAGACUUCCAAGAAAAGCUCGCAAUGUCAUAAAUAAAGAAUGCCUGUACCAUAACCGACACAGGUGGGUAGGUAGAGUAUACUAAGGGGCGCGAGAUAACUCUCUCUAAGGAACUCGGCAAAAUAACUCCGUAACUUCGGGAGAAGGAGUGCCUUCUUUAAGAAGGUUGCAAUAACAAGAUCCAAGCAACUGUUUAUCAAAAACACAGGUCUCCGCUAAGUCGUAAGACGAUGUAUGGGGGCUGACGCCUGCCCAGUGCCAGAAGGUUAAAGAAGUUGGUUAGCUUUUGCGAAGCUGAUGACUGAAGCCCUGGUGAACGGCGGCCGUAACAAUAACGGUCCUAAGGUAGCGAAAUUCCUUGUCGGGUAAGUUCCGACCCGCACGAAAGGCGUAAUGAUUUGGAUACUGUCUCGGAGAGGGACUCGGUGAAAUAGACUUGUCUGUGAAGAUGCGGACUACCUGCACCAGGACAGAAAGACCCUAUGAAGCUUUACUGUAACUUGAAAUUGAAAUUGGACUUUAUUUGCGCAGUAUAGGUGGAAGGCGUUGAAAGUAAUCUUGCGGGAUUAGUGGAGCCAUCAGUGAGAUACCACUCCUAUAAUGUUAGAUUUCUAACUUUGGAUCAUGAUCUGGUCAAAGAACAGUUUCAGGCGGGCAGUUUGACUGGGGCGGUCGCCUCCCAAAUGGUAACGGAGGCGUACAAAGGUUUCCUCUGAACGGGUAGAAAUCGUAUCUAGAGUGUAAAGGCAUAAGGAAGCUUGACUGUGAGACCUACAAGUCGAGCAGGGACGAAAGUCGGUCUUAGUGAUCUGACGGUGCUGAGUGGAAAGGCCGUCACUCAACGGAUAAAAGUUACUCUAAGGAUAACAGUCUGAUCUCCCCCAAGAGUUCACAUCGACGGGGAGGUUUGGCACCUCGAUGUCGGCUCAUCGCAUCCUGGGGCGGUAGUACGUCCCAAGGGUUGGGCUGUUCGCCCAUGAAAGCGGUACGCGAGCUGGGUUCAGAACGUCGUGAGACAGUUCGGUCCAUAUCCGGUGUAGGCGUUAGAAUAUUGAGAGGAGCCUUCUUUAGUACGAGAGGACCGAGAAGGACAUACCUCUGGUGUACCAGUUAUCGUGCCAACGGUAAACGCUGGGUAGCUAUGUAUGGAGAGGAUAACCGCUGAAAGCAUCUAAGUGGGAAGCCCACCUCAAGAUGAG